UACGGAGGGUGCGAGCGUUGCUCGGAAUCAUUGGGCGUAAAGCGUACGCAGGCGGCGCCGUAAGUCGGGUGUGAAAGCCCGGGGCUCAACCCCGGAAAUGCGCCCGAAACUGCAGCGCUUGAGUGCGGGAGAGGAAAGCGGAAUCCGUGGUGUAGAGGUGAAAUUCGUAGAUAUCACGGGGAACACCGGUGGCGAAAGCGGCUUUCUGGCCCGAUACUGACGCUCAUGUACGAAAGCGUGGGGAGCAAACAGG
Molecule: ribosomal RNA, 253 nt
Filed under: uncultured bacterium
Lineage: Bacteria
Description: partial 16S ribosomal RNA
Rfam family: Bacterial small subunit ribosomal RNA
Source: RNAcentral